UGCCCUACGGGAGGCAGCAGUGGGGAAUAUUGCGCAAUGGGGGCAACCCUGACGCAGCAACGCCGCGUGCGGGACGAAGGCCUUCGGGUUGUAAACCGCUUUCAGCAGGGAAGAACCAUGACGGUAUCUGCAGAAGAAGCCACGGCUAACUACGUGCCAGCAGCCGCGGUAAUACGUAGGUGGCAAGCGUUAUCCGGAAUUACUGGGUGUAAAGGGUGUGUAGGCGGGGCUGCAAGUCAGAUGUGAAAAUUAUGGGCUCAACCCAUAACCUGCGUCUGAAACUGUAGCUCUUG
Molecule: ribosomal RNA, 293 nt
Filed under: uncultured bacterium
Lineage: Bacteria
Description: partial 16S ribosomal RNA
Rfam family: Bacterial small subunit ribosomal RNA
Source: RNAcentral